Carcharodon carcharias (great white shark) is the source of this 1151-nucleotide RNA transcript. It is a transcript of the gene named C-x(9)-C motif containing 4 homolog (S. cerevisiae), with no coding region annotated. Lineage: Eukaryota; Metazoa; Chordata; Chondrichthyes; Lamniformes; Lamnidae. The transcript is spliced from 3 exons. The record is from RefSeq and is a predicted model, not a curated record.
AAACAGACGAGGAACGCGUCCGAAUCCACAUGAACCCCACACACCGCCAUGUCCGCCCGGCCUAUUCUCGGAAUCAAAUGUAAACUCGAUUUAACCAAACCGGAUCCUCCCCACUUCCCGACAACAUGGACAACAAUCGGUGCCGGGUGAAAAGCGGGCGUCGCAACUGGGUUCCGGAACAUUCACCGAGUGAAAUUGUAGCAGUGGCAGAAAAAGCGAGUGAAAACACAAUGCGUUUGAAGUUUAAGCCACAUUGCUAUGUCUACCAAAGACCCCUGCCAGAAACAGGCCUGUGAAAUACAGAAGUGCUUACAAGGACUCAUUGGAAAGAUGAUCGAACAAACACUAGUGAUCUUCUUGAAGCCAGCUCCACAAGCAUUCAGGCAAAACUCCCACAAAAUCAACUACAAUGGACUGGACACUGUGUCCGGAUGGCCAAAAAGCGUCUCCCCACCAGGUCCUGUUUUCUUAACCCUCAAAUGGCCAACGUUCCAGGGGUGGACAAAGAAAACGCUACAAAGAUACUCUGAAGCUCUCCUUGAAGCACGCCAGCAUUCAAAUUAAUGAUGGAGAGGAGCUUGCUACUAAUCGUUCAAAAUAGCAAUGAAUUGUCCAGCAAGCUGCAUGAAGCUUUGAGUCCAAGUGCCUUAAUGAUGAGACAGAGCAGCAGCAGAGAAGGAAAGAAAAGGAUGCAAAUCCUGCAUUCUGGAUCCCGCUAUAGUGUGGGAUGUCCUGCCCCAUAUGCCCAAAGAUCUGCGGGUCAAAAACAGCAUGUUCAGUUACAUGAAGACUCAUGGCAGAAACCCAUAAUCCUGAGUAGACGUCAUCCUCCGAUGGAGGGACAGCCAAUGACAGCGAUGGUGACUAUAUAAAUGGUAGAAUAUAAAAUAAAUUGAGAUGUACUCUGCAACACUGGUCUGUUGUGAAGUCCACCUACCCACACUAAAAAAUAACUUCACCCUUUUAUUCAUUUCCUUUCCAAAAAACUGAAGAGCAAAAUGUCAUGGACGGAAUUUAUGAUUUUCCUUUUACUGCCGUGAUCAAUAUGUUUGUGUAAAUGGGGUGUGUUUUUCAUACCCUUGAUUUGUGUGUCACAAUUAAAUAAUUCAGCAGCAAGCUUUUGUGAGUUUAAAAUAAAGGUUAGUUAUUCU